This 70-nucleotide transfer RNA is filed under the name Charadrius vociferus (killdeer). It matches the Rfam family "tRNA". From Rfam's summary of the family: Transfer RNA (tRNA) molecules are approximately 80 nucleotides in length. Their secondary structure includes four short double-helical elements and three loops (D, anti-codon, and T loops). Further hydrogen bonds mediate the characteristic L-shaped molecular structure. tRNAs have two regions of fundamental functional importance: the anti-codon, which is responsible for specific mRNA codon recognition, and the 3' end, to which the tRNAs corresponding amino acid is attached (by aminoacyl-tRNA synthetases). tRNAs cope with the degeneracy of the genetic code in two manners: having more than one tRNA (with a specific anti-codon) for a particular amino acid; and 'wobble' base-pairing, i.e. permitting non-standard base-pairing at the 3rd anti-codon position. The record is from Rfam by way of RNAcentral. Lineage: Eukaryota; Metazoa; Chordata; Aves; Charadriiformes; Charadriidae.
GUCCCUGUAGCUUAAUAGCAAAGCAUGGCACUGAAGAUGCUAAGAUGGCUGCCACACUCACACAGGGACA